This 468-nucleotide ribosomal RNA is filed under the name uncultured bacterium. Its description in RNAcentral is "partial 16S ribosomal RNA". It matches the Rfam family "Bacterial small subunit ribosomal RNA", at positions 28 to 507 of the family's 1533-position model. The record is from RNAcentral.
GACGAACGCUGGCGGCGUGCUUAACACAUGCAAGUCGAACGGAAAGGCCCUGCUUUUGUGGGGUGCUCGAGUGGCGAACGGGUGAGUAACACGUGAGUAACCUGCCCUUGACUUUGGGAUAACUUCAGGAAACUGGGGCUAAUACCGGAUAGGAGCUCCUGCUGCAUGGUGGGGGUGGGAAAGUUUCGGCGGUUGGGGAUGGACUCGCGGCGUAUCAGCUUGUUGGUGGGGUAGUGGCUUACCAAGGCUUUGACGGGUAGCCGGCCUGAGAGGGUGACCGGCCACAUUGGGACUGAGAUACGGCCCAGACUCCUACGGGAGGCAGCAGUGGGGAAUAUUGCACAAUGGGCGGAAGCCUGAUGCAGCAACGCCGCGUGCGGGAUGACGGCCUUCGGGUUGUAAACCGCUUUCGCCUGUGACGAAGCGUGAGUGACGGUAAUGGGUAAAGAAGCACCGGCUAACUACGUG